CAGCAGCCGCGGUAAUACGUAGGGUGCGAGCGUUAAUCGGAAUUACUGGGCGUAAAGCGUGCGCAGGCGGUUAUAUAAGACGGAUGUGAAAUCCCCGGGCUCAACCUGGGACCUGCAUUUGUGACUGUAUAGCUAGAGUACGGUAGAGGGGGAUGGAAUUCCGCGUGUAGCAGUGAAAUGCGUAGAUAUGCGGAGGAACACCGAUGGCGAAGGCAAUCCCCUGGACCUGUACUGACGCUCAUGCACGAAAGCGUGGGGAGCAAACAGGAUUAGAGACCCCCGUAGUCCCUGUCUCUUAUAC
This 301-nucleotide ribosomal RNA is filed under the name uncultured bacterium. RNAcentral describes it as "partial 16S ribosomal RNA". It matches the Rfam family "Bacterial small subunit ribosomal RNA", at positions 509 to 807 of the family's 1533-position model. The record is from RNAcentral.